This 329-nucleotide ribosomal RNA is filed under the name uncultured eukaryote. RNAcentral describes it as "partial 18S ribosomal RNA". It matches the Rfam family "Eukaryotic small subunit ribosomal RNA", at positions 1470 to 1796 of the family's 1831-position model. The record is from RNAcentral.
CCCUUAGAUGUCCUGGGCCGCACGCGCGCUACACUAAGUGUCUGAGAUACGAGUCUGCCUGGUCCGGCAAGGUCUAGGUAAUCGCUAAAAGACACAUCAUGCUUGGGAUAGAUUAUUGCAAAUAUUAAUCUUGAACGAGGAAUUCCUAGUAAGCGCAAGUCAACAGCUUGCGUUGAUUACGUCCCUGCCCUUUGUACACACCGCCCGUCGCUACUACUGAUUGGAUGUUUAAGCGAGGUUCUCGAACUGCUAGCGACUUAGCUUCGGUGAGGUCGCAGUGUGGGAAGUGAACCUAGCUUUGGUGUCUAGAGGAAGUAAAAGUCGUAACA